AGUGCUCCUGCUGACCUUCCGUGUCUGCAGCCCGGCUUUGGACUGUGGAGAUGCCCUCAGCCUCUACUCAGUGGCUCCAGCCUCAUAUUUGCGUGCUAUACCUUUAACCUCAAGUCCUCUUGCUGCUAACUUAAGCUGCGACUGUCCAGGACCUGCACACACACACACAUGCACGCAUGCACACACACACACACAGAAGGUGAACACACAGGAUGAGGCCCUGAAAACUCAUUUCACCCGUGUACCUCACCCAAAAAUUCCCCUUUGUACUCCUAUCUUUAUCUCUAACUGACAGCAUGAAGCCCUGACUGCCGAAACCCUCCAGCCCCAGCUCCAGCCCCUCAGGAGGGGACUGCGUGGGAGGAAUGACUCCAGCAAGCCGGCAGCUGACCCGUCUCCUGCCUGCACGCCUCCCGCUGUGGUCCACUGCCGGUGGUCUUCAGCUCUCUCCUCGUCCCACCCCCAUGGUCUGCUGACAGCCCAGCUCAGUGCAUCCCUGCCAUCUCUGCUCUACCGCUGGUCCUCCCAACAACCAACUUACAGGUUUGGGGGCACACGUGAAGGUUUGACAUAUAGUAAACACAUGUCAUGGUGGUUUGUUGUACAGAUUAUUACAUCACCCAGGGUUUCACUCCCGUCACCCAGACUGGAGUACAAUGGUGCGAUCUCAGCUCACUGCAACCUCUGCCUCCUGGGCUUAAGCGAUUCUCCUGCCUUGGCCUCCCAAGUAGCUGGGAUUACAGGUGCCUGCCACCACUCCUGGCUAAUUUUUGUAUUUUUUGUAAAGGCGGAGUUUCUCCAUGUUGCCCAGGCUAGUCUCAAACUCCUGAGCUCAAGCAAUCCACCCGCCUCGGCCUCCCAAAUAAGUGGAAUUAUAGGUGUGAGCCACCACGCCGGCCCUGAUGUAUCAAUAUUAAAACAUUUUCUUCAGCCUA
Molecule: long non-coding RNA, 935 nt
Filed under: Homo sapiens (human)
Lineage: Eukaryota; Metazoa; Chordata; Mammalia; Primates; Hominidae
Description: uncharacterized LOC105376020, transcript variant 7 (LOC105376020)
Source: RNAcentral